AUUGAACGCUGGCGGCAGGCCUAACACAUGCAAGUCGAACGAGGGGCGGACGGGUGUGUAAUGUAUGGGAAACUGCCCGAUGGAGGGGGAUAACUACUGGAAACGGUAGCUAAUACCGCAUACCAUCGGAUGUGCCCAGAUGGGAUUAGCUUGUAGGUGGGGUAACGGCUUACCUAGGCGACGAUCCCGAGCUGGUCUGAGAGGAUGACCGGCCCCACUGGACCUGGGACACGGUCCAGCCUCCUACGGUAGGCAGCAGGGGGAAGUAUGGCACAAUGGGCGAACGCCGGGUGCAGCCAUGCCGCGUGUAUGAAGAAGGCCUGCGGGUUGUAAAGUACUUUCAGCGAGGAGGCGUUACUCACAGAAGAAGCACCGGCUAACUCCGUGCCAGCAGCCGCGGUAAUAC
RNAcentral lists this ribosomal RNA (406 nucleotides) under uncultured bacterium. Its description in RNAcentral is "partial 16S ribosomal RNA". It matches the Rfam family "Bacterial small subunit ribosomal RNA", at positions 29 to 526 of the family's 1533-position model. The record is from RNAcentral.